CAGCAGCCGCGGUAAAACGGAGGGUGCAAGCGUUAAUCGGAAUUACUGGGCGUAAAGCGUGCGUAGGCGGUUCGUUAAGUCUGUUGUGAAAGCCCCGGGCUCAACCUGGGAAUGGCAAUGGAUACUGGCGAGCUAGAGUGUGUCAGAGGAUGGUGGAAUUCCCGGUGUAGCGGUGAAAUGCGUAGAGAUCGGGAGGAACAUCAGUGGCGAAGGCGGCCAUCUGGGACAACACUGACGCUGAGGCACGAAAGCGUGGGGAGCAAACAGGAUUAGAUACCCGAGUAGUCCCUGUCUCUUAUAC
This 301-nucleotide ribosomal RNA is filed under the name uncultured bacterium. RNAcentral's name for it is "partial 16S ribosomal RNA". It matches the Rfam family "Bacterial small subunit ribosomal RNA", at positions 509 to 807 of the family's 1533-position model. The record is from RNAcentral.